GAUGAACGCUGGCGGCGUGCCUAAUACAUGCAAGUCGAGCGAACAGAUGAGGAGCUUGCUCCUCUGACGUUAGCGGCGGACGGGUGAGUAACACGUGGAUAACCUACCUAUAAGACUGGGAUAACUUCGGGAAACCAGAGCUAAUACCGGAUAAUAUAUUGAACCGCAUGGUUCAAUAGUGAAAGACGGUUUUGCUGUCACUUAUAGAUGGAUCCGCGCCGCAUUAGCUAGUUGGUAAGGUAACGGCUUACCAAGGCAACGAUGCGUAGCCGACCUGAGAGGGUGAUCGGCCACACUGGAACUGAGACACGGUCCAGACUCCUACGGGAGGCAACAGUAGGGAAUCUUCCGCAAUGGGCGAAAGCCUGACGGAGCGACGCCGCGUGAGUGAUGAAGGUCUUCGGAUCGUAAAACUCUGUUAUUAGGGAAGAACAAAUGUGUAAGUAACUAUGCACGUCUUGACGGUACCUAAUCAGAAAGCCACGGCUAACUACGUG
This 497-nucleotide ribosomal RNA is filed under the name uncultured bacterium. Its description in RNAcentral is "partial 16S ribosomal RNA". It matches the Rfam family "Bacterial small subunit ribosomal RNA", at positions 28 to 507 of the family's 1533-position model. The record is from RNAcentral.